Molecule: ribosomal RNA, 2934 nt
Filed under: Bacillus velezensis
Lineage: Bacteria; Bacillati; Bacillota; Bacilli; Caryophanales; Bacillaceae
Description: bacterial LSU rRNA
Rfam family: Bacterial large subunit ribosomal RNA
Source: RNAcentral
CGGWUWAGUUAGAAAGGGCGCACGGUGGAUGCCUUGGCACUAGGAGCCGAUGAAGGACGGGACGAACACCGAUAUGCUUCGGGGAGCUGUAAGCAAGCUUUGAUCCGGAGAUUUCCGAAUGGGGAAACCCACCACUCGUAAUGGAGUGGUAUCCAUAUCUGAAUACAUAGGAUAUGAGAAGGCAGACCCGGGGAACWGAAACAUCUAAGUACCCGGAGGAAGAGAAAGMMAAUGCGAUUCCCUGAGUAGCGGYGAGCGAAACGGGACCAGCCCAAACCAAGAGGCUUGCCUCUUGGGGUUGUAGGACACUCUGUACGGAGUUACAAAGGAACGAGGUAGAUGAAGAGGUCUGGAAAGGCCCGCCAUAGAAGGUAACAGCCCUGUAGUCAAAACUUCGUUCUCUCCUGAGUGGAUCCUGAGUACGGCGGAACACGUGAAAUUCCGUCGGAAUCCGGGAGGACCAUCUCCCAAGGCUAAAUACUCCCUAGUGACCGAUAGUGAACCAGUACCGUGAGGGAAAGGUGAAAAGCACCCCGGAAGGGGAGUGAAAGAGAUCCUGAAACCGUGUGCCUACAAGUAGUCAGAGCCCGUUAAUGGGUGAUGGCGUGCCUUUUGUAGAAUGAACCGGCGAGUUACGAUCCCGUGCAAGGUUAAGCAGAAGAUGCGGAGCCGCAGCGAAAGCGAGUCUGAAUAGGGCGAAUUGAGUACGUGGUCGUAGACCCGAAACCAGGUGAUCUACCCAUGUCCAGGGUGAAGUUCAGGUAACACUGAAUGGAGGCCCGAACCCACGCACGUUGAAAAGUGCGGGGAUGAGGUGUGGGUAGGGGUGAAAUGCCAAUCGAACCUGGAGAUAGCUGGUUCUCUCCGAAAUAGCUUUAGGGCUAGCCUCAAGGUAAGAGUCUCGGAGGUAGAGCACUGAUUGGACUAGGGGCCCCUACCGGGUUACCGAAUUCAGUCAAACUCCGAAUGCCGAUGACUUAUCCUUGGGAGUCAGACUGCGAGUGAUAAGAUCCGUAGUCGAAAGGGAAACAGCCCAGACCGCCAGCUAAGGUCCCAAAGUAUACGUUAAGUGGAAAAGGAUGUGGAGUUGCUUAGACAACCAGGAUGUUGGCUUAGAAGCAGCCACCAUUUAAAGAGUGCGUAAUAGCUCACUGGUCGAGUGACUCUGCGCCGAAAAUGUACCGGGGCUAAACGUAUCACCGAAGCUGCGGACUGUUCUUCGAACAGUGGUAGGAGAGCGUUCUAAGGGCUGUGAAGCAAGACCGGAAGGACUUGUGGAGCGCUUAGAAGUGAGAAUGCCGGUAUGAGUAGCGAAAGAGGGGUGAGAAUCCCCUCCACCGAAUGCCUAAGGUUUCCUGAGGAAGGCUCGUCCGCUCAGGGUUAGUCGGGACCUAAGCCGAGGCCGAAAGGCGUAGGCGAUGGAUAACAGGUUGAUAUUCCUGUACCACCUCCUCACCAUUUGAGCAAUGGGGGGACGCAGGAGGAUAGGGUAAGCGCGGUAUUGGAUAUCCGCGUCCAAGCAGUUAGGCUGGGAAAUAGGCAAAUCCGUUUCCCGUGAAGGCUGAGCUGUGAUGGCGAGCGAAUUAUAGUAGCGAAGUUCCUGAUUCCACACUGCCAAGAAAAGCCUCUAGCGAGGUGAGAGGUGCCCGUACCGCAAACCGACACAGGUAGGCGAGGAGAGAAUCCUAAGGUGAUCGAGAGAACUCUCGUUAAGGAACUCGGCAAAAUGACCCCGUAACUUCGGGAGAAGGGGUGCUCUGUUAGGGUGCAAGCCCGAGAGAGCCGCAGUGAAUAGGCCCAGGCGACUGUUUAGCAAAAACACAGGUCUCUGCGAAGCCGUAAGGCGAAGUAUAGGGGCUGACGCCUGCCCGGUGCUGGAAGGUUAAGAGGAGCGCUUAGCGUAAGCGAAGGUGCGAAUUGAAGCCCCAGUAAACGGCGGCCGUAACUAUAACGGUCCUAAGGUAGCGAAAUUCCUUGUCGGGUAAGUUCCGACCCGCACGAAAGGCGCAACGAUCUGGGCACUGUCUCAACGAGAGACUCGGUGAAAUUAUAGUACCUGUGAAGAUGCAGGUUACCCGCGACAGGACGGAAAGACCCCGUGGAGCUUUACUGCAGCCUGAUAUUGAAUGUUGGUACAGCUUGUACAGGAUAGGUAGGAGCCUUGGAAACCGGAGCGCCAGCUUCGGUGGAGGCAUCGGUGGGAUACUACCCUGGCUGUAUUGACCUUCUAACCCGCCGCCCUUAUCGGGCAGGGAGACAGUGUCAGGUGGGCAGUUUGACUGGGGCGGUCGCCUCCUAAAAGGUAACGGAGGCGCCCAAAGGUUCCCUCAGAAUGGUUGGAAAUCAUUCGCAGAGUGUAAAGGCACAAGGGAGCUUGACUGCGAGACCUACAAGUCGAGCAGGGACGAAAGUCGGGCUUAGUGAUCCGGUGGUUCCGCAUGGAAGGGCCAUCGCUCAACGGAUAAAAGCUACCCCGGGGAUAACAGGCUUAUCUCCCCCAAGAGUCCACAUCGACGGGGAGGUUUGGCACCUCGAUGUCGGCUCAUCGCAUCCUGGGGCUGUAGUCGGUCCCAAGGGUUGGGCUGUUCGCCCAUUAAAGCGGUACGCGAGCUGGGUUCAGAACGUCGUGAGACAGUUCGGUCCCUAUCCGUCGCGGGCGCAGGAAAUUUGAGAGGAGCUGUCCUUAGUACGAGAGGACCGGGAUGGACGCACCGCUGGUGUACCAGUUGUUCUGCCAAGGGCAUCGCUGGGUAGCUAUGUGCGGACGGGAUAAGUGCUGAAAGCAUCUAAGCAUGAAGCCCCCCUCAAGAUGAGAUUUCCCAUUCCGCAAGGAAGUAAGAUCCCUGAAAGAUGAUCAGGUUGAUAGGUCUGAGGUGGAAGUGUGGCGACACAUGGAGCUGACAGAUACUAAUCGAUCGAGGACUUAACCAAUUU